This 617-nucleotide ribosomal RNA is filed under the name bacterium DR2A-6G15. Its description in RNAcentral is "bacterial SSU rRNA". It matches the Rfam family "Bacterial small subunit ribosomal RNA", at positions 271 to 881 of the family's 1533-position model. The record is from RNAcentral.
AGGCAACGAUCAGUAGCUGGUCUGAGAGGACGACCAGCCACACUGGAACUGAGACACGGUCCAGACUCCUACGGGAGGCAGCAGUGGGGAAUUUUGGACAAUGGGGGCAACCCUGAUCCAGCAAUGCCGCGUGAGUGAAGAAGGCCUUCGGGUUGUAAAGCUCUUUUGUCAGGGAAGAAAAGGUUGUGGCUAAUAUCCACAUCUGCUGACGGUACCUGAAGAAUAAGCACCGGCUAACUACGUGCCAGCAGCCGCGGUAAUACGUAGGGUGCAAGCGUUAAUCGGAAUUACUGGGCGUAAAGCGUGCGCAGGCGGUUUCGUAAGUCUGUCGUGAAAUCCCCGGGCUUAACCUGGGAAUGGCGAUGGAGACUGCGAGGCUAGAGUUUGGCAGAGGGGGGUAGAAUUCCACGUGUAGCAGUGAGAUGCGUAGAGAUGUGGAGGAACACCGAUGGCGAAGGCAGCCCCCUGGGUCAAAACUGACGCUCAUGCACGAAAGCGUGGGGAGCAAACAGGAUUAGAUACCCUGGUAGUCCACGCCCUAAACGAUGUCUACUAGUUGUUGGGUCUUAAUUGACUUAGUAACGCAGCUAACGCGUGAAGUAGACCGCCUGGGGAGU